Lotus japonicus is the source of this 107-nucleotide small nucleolar RNA. Lineage: Eukaryota; Viridiplantae; Streptophyta; Magnoliopsida; Fabales; Fabaceae. The record is from RefSeq and is a predicted model, not a curated record.
AGGUUGUGUUGUGAACACAUCCUCUAGAACUUCUUGAAUCGCUCCAAAGCUUCAUAAAGAUUUUCAUCAGCGGAUUGAGCAAAUGUCAUAAUAUCAUUCUUUUGCUU